GAACGAGGAUAUAUCCUUCGGGAUGUAAGCCGAGUGGCACAAGGGUGAGCAAUGCAUAGAUUACCUACCUUUAGGAUAAGGGCAACUUUGUGAAAACGGAGCUAAUACUUAAUAAUACAAAAGAAAAUAAUUUUCUUUUGUCAAAGGGAGGGUAGCAAUACCUUUCGCCUAGAGAGGGGUUUAUGUCCUAUCAGCUUGUUGGUGGGGUAAUAGCCCACCAAGGCGAAGACGGGUAGCCGGUUUAAGAGGAUGGUCGGCCACACUGGGACUGAGACACUGCCCAGACUUCUACGGAAGGCUGCAGUCGAGAAUCUUUCGCAAUGCCCGAAAGGGUGACGAAGCGACGCCGCGUGGGUGAAGAAGGCCUUCGGGUUGUAAAGCCCUGUCAGGAGUUAUGAAAUGUAAGUGCGCUAAUAUCGUGCUUAUUUGACAAAGGCUCCAAAGGAAGCCACGGCUAACUCUGUGCCAGCAGCCGCGGUAAUACAGAGGUGGCGAGCGUUGUUCGGAAUUAUUGGGCGUAAAGAGCACGUAGGUGGGUUUGCAAGUCAGAUGUGAAAGCCUUCUGUUCAACGGAAGAAUUGCAUCUGAAACUGCUAAUCUUGAGUAUAGGAGGGGAGAAUGGAACUUCUGGUGGAGCGGUGAAAUGCGUAGAUAUCAGAAGGAACGCCGGCGGCGAAAGCGAUUCUCUGGCCUAUUACUGACACUCAGUGUGCGAAAGCUAGGGGAGCAAACGGGAUUAGAUACCCCGGUAGUCCUAGCCGUAAACGAUGGGCACUAAGUAGAGGGAAUUACCUAUAUUCUCUCUGCCGUAGCUAACGCAUUAAGUGCCCCGCCUGGGGAGUACGGCCGCAAGGCUAAAACUCAAAAGAAUUGACGGGGGCUCGCACAAGCGGUGGAGCAUGUGGCUUAAUUCGAUGCAACGCGAAAAACCUUACCGGGGCUUGACAUGAUAGAAGUAGGAACCUGAAAGGGGGACGAACGGUAUCCAGUCCGUAGCUAUCACAGGUGUUGCAUGGCUGUCGUCAGCUCGUGUCGUGAGACGUUGGGUUAAGUCCCCUAACGAGCGAAACCCUUGUUUUUAGUUACCAGCGGGUUAUGCCGGGUACUCUAGAAAGGCUGCCGUCGUCAAGACGGAGGAAGGUGGGGAUGACGUCAAGUCAUCAUGGCCCUUAUGCCCCGGGCUGCACACGUGCUACAAUGGUCGGUACAGACGGAAGCGAAGCCGAGAGGUGAAGCGAAUCCUAAAAAGCCGAUCUCAGUUCGGAUUGGAGGCUGAAAUUCGCCUCCAUGAAGUUGGAAUCGCUAGUAAUCGCGGAUCAGCAAUGUCGCGGUGAAUAUGUUCCCGAGCCUUGUACACACCGCCCGUCAAGCCACCCAAGCAGGAUGCACCCGAAAACAUUAUAUCUAACCAGGGCAACUUGGAGGAAAAUGUUGAAGGAGUGUUUUGUGA
RNAcentral lists this ribosomal RNA (1450 nucleotides) under uncultured anaerobic ammonium-oxidizing bacterium. Its description in RNAcentral is "16S ribosomal RNA". It matches the Rfam family "Bacterial small subunit ribosomal RNA". The record is from RNAcentral.